AUUAGCUGAGUCCUUGGAUCUGAACCUCUAAGAAGGUACCAUCUCCUACCUGGUCUGCAUGGCUAUUACAUCUAGAAGUGGCAGUGCAGCAGAAGAGGGUGUGGCCAUCUUCCUGCUGUUGAUGAAAUGCCUGAGGACCCAGGAGCCCCAAGGAAAAGGAAAGUCUGGAGAGCUACCAUGCCUAUGCAGGUGACGUCGGCCUCUGAGACGACUCCUAUCCUGUGGGUGCUGUGACAGUUCCCUGGGCCACUGGAAUUACCAGGUCAGUCCCCCAUGUUCCUCCUCCAUGGGAAAAUCUUUUGGAGCUUCUCCCCAGGCCUCAGCAAAAAUGCCGAGAUUACCACAGAAGAG
RNAcentral lists this long non-coding RNA (351 nucleotides) under Rattus norvegicus (Norway rat). RNAcentral describes it as "long non-coding RNA NONRATT025920". The record is from RNAcentral. Lineage: Eukaryota; Metazoa; Chordata; Mammalia; Rodentia; Muridae.